CAACCUGGCGGCGAGUGGCGAACGGGUGAGUAAUAUAUCGGAACGUACCCUGGAGUGGGGGAUAACGUAGCGAAAGUUACGCUAAUACCGCAUACGAUCUAAGGAUGAAAGUGGGGGCUUCGCAAGAACCUCAUGCUCCUGGAGCGGCCGAUAUCUGAUUAGCUAGUUGGUGGGGUAAAGGCCUACCAAGGCAUCGAUCAGUAGCUGGUCUGAGAGGACGACCAGCCACACUGGAACUGAGACACGGUCCAGACUCCUACGGGAGGCAGCAGUGGGGAAUUUUGGACAAUGGGCGAAAGCCUGAUCCAGCAAUGCCGCGUGAGUGAAGAAGGCCUUCGGGUUGUAAAGCCCUUUUGUCAGGGAAGAAACGGUGAGAGCUAAUAUCUUUUGCUAAUGACGGUACCUGAAGAAUAAGCACCGGCUAACUACGUGCCAGCAGCCGCGGUAAUACGUAGGGUGCAAGCGUUAAUCGGAAUUACUGGGCGUAAAGCGUGCGCAGGCGGUUUUGUAAGUUUGUCGUGAAAUCCCCGGGCUCAACCUGGGAAUUGCGAUGAAGACUGCAAGGCUAGAAUCUGGCAGAGGGAGGUAGAAUUCCACGUGUAGCAGUGAAAUGCGUAGAGAUGUGGAGGAACACCGAUGGCGAAGGCAGCCCCCUGGGUCAAGAUUGACGCUCAUGCACGAAAGCGUGGGGAGCAAACAGGAUUAGAUACCCUGGUAGUCCACGCCCUAAACGAUGUCUACUAGUUGUCGGGUUUUAAUUAACUUGGUAACGCAGCUAACGCGUGAAGUAGACCGCCUGGGGAGUACGGUCGCAAGAUUAAAACUCAAAGGAAUUGACGG
RNAcentral lists this ribosomal RNA (840 nucleotides) under uncultured bacterium. Its description in RNAcentral is "bacterial SSU rRNA". It matches the Rfam family "Bacterial small subunit ribosomal RNA", at positions 81 to 916 of the family's 1533-position model. The record is from RNAcentral.